AGAGUUUGAUCAUGGCUCAGGACGAACGCUGGCGGCGUGCUUAACACAUGCAAGUCGAACGGAAAGGCCCUGCUUUUGUGGGGUGCUCGAGUGGCGAACGGGUGAGUAACACGUGAGUAACCUGCCCUUGACUUUGGGAUAACUUCAGGAAACUGGGGCUAAUACCGGAUAGGAGCUCCUGCUGCAUGGUGGGGGUUGGAAAGUUUCGGCGGUUGGGGAUGGACUCGCGGCUUAUCAGCUUGUUGGUGGGGUAGUGGCUUACCAAGGCUUUGACGGGUAGCCGGCCUGAGAGGGUGACCGGCCACGUUGGGACUGAGAUACGGCCCAGACUCCUACGGGAGGCAGCAGUGGGGAAUAUUGCACAAUGGGCGGAAGCCUGAUGCAGCAACGCCGCGUGCGGGAUGACGGCCUUCGGGUUGUAAACCGCUUUCGCCUGUGACGAAGCGUGAGUGACGGUAAUGG
Molecule: ribosomal RNA, 462 nt
Filed under: uncultured organism
Description: bacterial SSU rRNA
Rfam family: Bacterial small subunit ribosomal RNA
Source: RNAcentral